This is an RNA transcript of Ipomoea nil (Japanese morning glory), 2116 nucleotides long. RefSeq lists it as uncharacterized. NCBI's taxonomy places the organism in Eukaryota, Viridiplantae, Streptophyta, Magnoliopsida, Solanales, Convolvulaceae. The record is from RefSeq and is a predicted model, not a curated record. The transcript is spliced from 3 exons.
GUUCUCAGUCGUUAUCCUCCUCGGGUUGAAGCCGUGCGUUGUUAUUGCUUGGUAGCAUCGUGUUUGUGCUCCAUGGCCGGCGAUCUCCAUCGGCGUUCAACGACACGGCGUCGUGGGUUUCUAGCAGUCGAACCAGGUUUGGACAUAUGAAGCAAGAUAUUAAGGGACUGUCACGUACUAGGAGUGGUCAACUAACUUAAGAUAAGCAAACUAAUUGGUCUGGACAAUACCCACUUAGUGGGGCGCAUCUCACGAAGAUCCACUUAAUUGAUGUCUUAAAUUUUGCAGGAUGUUGAAAUGCUCAGUGGUCGGCUAACAUGCUAGGUGGUCGGUCGGAGAGCUCACAUUCUAAUUCUAUUGUUUCCAAAGUAUUAAAGAUUAGAGCUCAUAAAGAAGGUACACACCUCGUGUGUUUUCCUUUAAUUUAACUAGUUUUUGAGUUUUGUAGGAUGUGCUCAAUGGUCGGCUUACAACCUCAGCGGUCAGCCUUGGGUCUUAGUAGUAGGCCUUCAACCACGGUGGUCAGCUUUCAGCUUCAAAUGGUCAACAUAUAUUAUCUACUCUACCACCUCUCGGGGGUUGGCCUAUGUUCUCUCUCACCUCUAAGUGGUCGAAUUUCUUGUAGAGGUAGUCGAAUUUUCCACGGAUUUGGUUAGAAGUGAUCAGAUUUCUUAUGGAGGGGGUUGAAUUUCUCGCAAGGGUGGUAGGAAUUCCACUCUAGCUAAAUAUAGCGCUUAUGGUUGUACUCUUUUUCCCUUAGCUAAGUUUUUUUCACUAGGUUUUUCUUAUUCUAAAGUUUUCUCAGCUCUGACUUAAGGGGUUACCCUUAGACCGUUCAGUUUAACGAUUGUGUCCAAAAGGACCACCACAUGAAUGGGCACACCCAUUCAAUGAUUUGUUGGCAAGGAGUAAAACUAGAUGGACAAAAAGGGGAACUUGGUAUUUUGCAGAUAAGCUAAUGGAUGAGGUUUUUAGAAGCAGGGAACUGCGCAGAGAUAUUUUUCCGAGAAGUGAAUUUUUCACUUUUCGUAGGAUUGAAGCAAUUCCAUCAGAAGGUAGAAUUAAAUUAUAAAGUGAAAAAUCAACUUUUCAGUGGAUUGAACAUGUUUUAAUUAUUAUUAUUAUUAUUAUUAUUAUUAUUAUUAUUAUUAUUUUUAUUUUUAUUAUUAUUAUUUUGUUACUAAAGUAUCUUAUUAAAUUUUGAGCUAUGAAAAAAGAAAGACUUGUAAAUUUACCAAAACAUUUUUAAAAAUGAACCAUUUUUACACAUUUUCAUUUUCUAUGAAGGCAUUUAUGUAAUUGAAUGUAAUAUAACUUAAAUGAGUAAAUACCACCUAUGGUCCCUCGAGUUUGGUGGCAUCGCCAUCAAUGGUCCCUAAUUUUUGUAAUUACUGGGCGUCAUCCUCCGAGUUGCGAAAAGUGGCCUUCAAGGGUCCUUCCAUUUGUUGUUCCUGUUUGAGACGUCAAAAUGGAGGGCAAAAGAGUCAUUUGACUUUAUGUGUACGUUUUAAUGCAUUUUACAAUUAUUUAACCGAGCUCUCAUCUUUCGAACGACCGAACCUUAAUCUUCAGAGCAGUUCAUCUUCUUCAUCUUUUUCAAGUAAUUUCAUGAGCAACAAUGUCAUCUUCUUCAAGUACUUCAAGGAGGAGAUAUAAUUUUGGAGAUUCCAUACACAGUCAUGAGUGUCAGUGCGGGAAUCAAGUGGUGCUUCGAAUGUCUUGGACAGAUCGCAAUCCGGGUAGGAGGUUUUGGCAAUGCUCUGAAUUCGGUCAGGGAGGCAACGGUUGUGGUUUCUUUGAUUGGGCAGAUCCUCCAAUGUGUUCACGGGCAAUCAGUAUAAUACCCGAACUUUUGAAGAGGAUAAAUAGAGACAAAGAAGAGAUUGAGAAGUUAAAGGCUAUGCUAGAAGUUGCUACUAAGACAAAUGUAGUCCUGUCUAUGAAAUAUAAAUGUUGCAAAUUCGCAAUUGUAAUCAUCUUUGCAAUUGGAUUCGUAGUUCAUGUGUUUAGCAAAUGUAGUUCUCAAUCAAUCGCAGUUGUCAAAAUGCUUCUAGGCAAUUAAUGUUGUAACCUGAUUUGGACCAUUUAAUGAAAUGUGUUUGAAGUCUUUAGUUAA